Lynx canadensis (Canada lynx) is the source of this 1342-nucleotide long non-coding RNA. RefSeq lists it as uncharacterized. The transcript is spliced from 4 exons. Lineage: Eukaryota; Metazoa; Chordata; Mammalia; Carnivora; Felidae. The record is from RefSeq and is a predicted model, not a curated record.
AAACAGUAUCAUACAACACGCAACUUUUGAGACUGGCUUCUUUCACACAGCCUUAUGCGUUUGAAAUUCACCCAAGGUGUUGAGUCCGUCCACAGUUCAUUCCUUUUCAUUGCUACAGCGUCACUUCGUUGUGUUGUCGGACCUCCAUUUAUUCAUCCACUCGGCCACUCAAGGACAUUUGGAUUGUUUCUGGCUUUUGGCAAUUAUGAAAGAACAGCUGUAAACAUUUAGCUAAAGGUAUUUAAGCAUUGGUUCAUUUACCUGGGUUGUUGAAUUUCUGUGUGUAGAGUUAUCAGGACAUUCCUUCCUCCUCCUGCUUGUUGAGAAAACUGCAUGAUGGAAAAUGUUUGCCAGAAAACAAGUAUGGGGGCACCUGGGUGGCUCCAUCGGUGGAGACACGAACUCUGGAUUUUGGCUCAGAUCCCGGCUGUGGCUCCUCCAUUGGACUCAGGAAAGUCUCAAGUUCCAAACCUUUGGUGUUCAAGAACCUCAUGGUCCAACACUGCUCACCUCACCGGAAUCCUCUCUUGCUACCUCCCCCCUUCCCAGACUUCUGCCUUGCCAGAGGAUAUACAAUCCAGAGUGCCUAUGACUUCUCUGGAAUGCUUAUUUAAAAUACAAAGUCCUAGGCUCCAGAUUCUGAGGUAGUAGAUAAGCCUCAGGGUUCUGGAAGCUGCAUUGCAACAAGCUGGGCAACUCAUAUGGAGGGGACUUAUGGACCCCACCUGAGAAAUCCUGCUGAUCAGGUUCAACGCUAGGCUAUUUCUUAAAGCUUCGUGCUGUUUAGUCUCUAGCAUUUCCAUGUGCUGCAUUCGCUACCUGGAGUACCCUUCCCAUUUUUCAUCUUCUGCCUUCCUUGCUUCCAACCCUGCGUGGUUCUUUAUCCUUCCCUUCCAGGAUGCAGCUUUCAGGUGGUGUCUUCUGAGAAACCCUCACCACCCUUUCAAAGCUAAGCGGGUGACCCCCCCUUCUUUGUACAUGCUAAGGAAUUUAUUACACUAUCAUUGCCUGGUCACUGGUUUCUCCUAUAUAAGCGGAUGAGCUCCUUAUGGGCUUGCCUCUGAUUGGUGAAAUCUUCCGAACUUGACAUUUUCAAAAGAAUGGCAGUGCUGUACGAGGGCCAUUAAAUAAGUCCUAUCCCCUGGCAGCACAAAAUACCACAGAAAUGGCAUGGCGACCUCCUUCCAUCUUUCUGUCCAACAUAAUACCAAGAGUGAAUUUCUUUUAGCCUUAGUUACAUAGCAUGUUGGCUUUGCUUAGGGAGAAGCAUGGAAACAUCUCCCAAUAAGUUCAGUGUUGAGCCCAGAAUUAGCUAACUUCCUUUCUGUCUUUCAUUCAUUUG